GCCUGGGUGGCUCAGUCAGUUGAGCGUCUGACUUCGACUCAGGUCACGAUCUCACGGUUUGUGGGUUCGAGCCCCACGCCAGGCU
This 85-nucleotide transfer RNA is filed under the name Felis catus (domestic cat). It matches the Rfam family "tRNA". From Rfam's summary of the family: Transfer RNA (tRNA) molecules are approximately 80 nucleotides in length. Their secondary structure includes four short double-helical elements and three loops (D, anti-codon, and T loops). Further hydrogen bonds mediate the characteristic L-shaped molecular structure. tRNAs have two regions of fundamental functional importance: the anti-codon, which is responsible for specific mRNA codon recognition, and the 3' end, to which the tRNAs corresponding amino acid is attached (by aminoacyl-tRNA synthetases). tRNAs cope with the degeneracy of the genetic code in two manners: having more than one tRNA (with a specific anti-codon) for a particular amino acid; and 'wobble' base-pairing, i.e. permitting non-standard base-pairing at the 3rd anti-codon position. The record is from Rfam by way of RNAcentral. Lineage: Eukaryota; Metazoa; Chordata; Mammalia; Carnivora; Felidae.